This 401-nucleotide ribosomal RNA is filed under the name uncultured Gemmatimonadota bacterium. Its description in RNAcentral is "bacterial SSU rRNA". It matches the Rfam family "Bacterial small subunit ribosomal RNA", at positions 9 to 416 of the family's 1533-position model. The record is from RNAcentral. Lineage: Bacteria; Pseudomonadati; Gemmatimonadota.
GAGUUUGAUCAUGGCUCAGGACGAACGCUGGCGGCGUGCUUAACACAUGCAAGUCGAGGGGUCGCCCUUCGGGGCGGCACCGGCGAACGGGUGCGUAACACGUGAGCGACCUGCCCGUCUGCGGGGGAUAGCCGGCCCAACGGCCGGGUAAUACCGCAUACGCCGCCCCGGGGGCAUACCCGGGGCGGGGAAACUUCUGGGGCGGACGGAGGGGCUCGCGGCCUAUCAGCUCGUUGGCGGGGUAACGGCCCACCAAGGCGAUGACGGGUAGCUGGUCUGAGAGGAUGGCCAGCCACAUUGGGACUGAGAGACGGCCCAGACUCCUACGGGAGGCAGCAGUGGGGAAUCUUGCGCAAUGGCCGAAAGGCUGACGCAGCGACGCCGCGUGCGGGAUGACGGCC